This 274-nucleotide ribosomal RNA is filed under the name uncultured bacterium. Its description in RNAcentral is "partial 16S ribosomal RNA". It matches the Rfam family "Bacterial small subunit ribosomal RNA", at positions 523 to 796 of the family's 1533-position model. The record is from RNAcentral.
AUACGGAGGGAGCAAGCGUUAUUCGGAAUCACUGGGCGUAAAGGACGCGUAGGCGGGUUUGUAAGUCAGGUGUGAAAUCCUACAGCUCAACUGUAGAACUGCGCUUGAAACUACAGACCUAGAGUAUGGAAGGGGCAGAUGGAAUUAGUGGUGUAGGGGUAAAAUCCGUAGAUAUCACUAGGAAUACCGAAAGCGAAGGCGAUCUGCUGGGACAUUACUGACGCUGAGGCGUGAAAGCGUGGGGAGCAAACAGGAUUAGAAACCCCAGUAGUCC